CCUACGGUGUGCAGCAGUGGGGAAUAUUGCGCAAUGGGCGAAAGCCUGACGCAGCGACGCCGCGUGAGGGAUGAAGGUCUUCGGAUCGUAAACCUCUGUCAGCAGGGAAGAACGGUCACUGUGCUAAUCAGCAGUGAAUUGACGGUACCUGCAAAGGAAGCACCGGCUAACUCCUUGCAAGCAGCCGCGGUAAUCCGGAGGGUGCGAGCGUUAAUCGGAAUUACUGGGCGUAAAGCGAUCGUAGGCGGUAUGUCAAGUCAAGGGUGAAAUCCCCGCGCUCAACGUGGGCACUGCCUUUGAAACUGGCAAACUGGAGUGUGUGAGAGGAUAGUGGAAUUCCAGGUGUAGGAGUGAAAUCCGUAGAGAUCUGGAGGAACAUCAGUGGCGAAGGCGACUAUCUGGCACAUAACUGACGCUGAGGAGCGAAAGCGUGGGUAGCAAACAGGAUUAGAUACCCUAGUAGUC
This 465-nucleotide ribosomal RNA is filed under the name uncultured bacterium. RNAcentral's name for it is "partial 16S ribosomal RNA". It matches the Rfam family "Bacterial small subunit ribosomal RNA", at positions 338 to 795 of the family's 1533-position model. The record is from RNAcentral.